This is a long non-coding RNA of Daphnia pulicaria, 489 nucleotides long. RefSeq lists it as uncharacterized. The record is from RefSeq and is a predicted model, not a curated record. Lineage: Eukaryota; Metazoa; Arthropoda; Branchiopoda; Diplostraca; Daphniidae. The transcript has 3 exons.
UGUCUCAAAUCUUUGUUUGAACACAAGGAGCCAAUCCUAUGAACCCUUCAUGACUUUGAAACUGCUCAGCCAGUUCAUUUAAUGAGGCAGUGAAGAGAUCAGCAUCGUUUAGUUGUGCUUUCUCUUGUAAAAGUCCUGGAUGUAAGAUAUCCCACAAGUCCAACAAGCACUGAUUCCUUUGUCCCCAGAAUUUUCAAAAGUGAUUCAAAAUCGGUUUUGUUUUUAGAGGAAACAGAAUGCCAGUUACUCCACAAACUCUUCAAUUUUUCUAGGUGACUUUUUUUUUAAUUGAGACAUUAUCUGGUAAUUUCUCAUUCGUCAACUCCUUCAUAACAGAAAGAAACCUCUUCCUGGUUUCUUCUGGCCAAUCCAUAUUGUACCACACAUCCCACAGAAAACCAAAAUCUUCAUCAUUGUCAGGAUUGAAAUCACUUGCUGACACAAUUUUCAAAAUUAUGAUAUUUCGAGCCAAUACAGAAGGCUGAAAAU